AAGUGGGGCGACCCGCCAGGCCGGCACCCACAUAGUGCUGGGCACCCCGCUUUAAACUUAAGAGGGAGGCGGAAAUUAGGACUCCUAGUGUGGACAAGGGUUCCUCUGUGGUACGUAAAAUGCAGUGAGACCAGGGGGCGGAGCUGCAGCCUGUGGGGCCUGCACCCCAUGGAAGGUGCUCCCAUCCAGCUCCCUGCUCCUGGCCCUGGAGACCAGCGGAGAUGACCGCUCACCCCGGAGACCCGAGUGAAGCGCCUGGCUUUGGCCCGGCCCAGCCCCAGCCAGUGUGGCCAUCUGAAGGUCUCUCCGUCUUUCUCUUAAAGAAAUCAUUGACAGAAUUACGUGGGGUGGGAAUGAAAGACUAGAAAAGGCACCAAAUGAUCAGACUGCAACUGCCCCCUCCAACAGCAGACCGGAAUUGGUUGGGAAAGAAAGCAAGGAAGUGAACCGGGAGCUCCCUUUGAGCCUUGAGCUGAUCGACGGUCUAGGUGACUUGAGAUGUGAUGACUUUAAUAGUAGGUGCUCCUGCACUGCCUUUUGUUACCCCCAUGAGAGAACAGAGUAAUGGGGCUGCCUACAUCUUGGAUCUGAACUUUCAAAACUCAGGAAACCUUUCAAGUUGGUCGAUAGGUUUUGGAUGAAGACUGCACUCAGCAUCUGAACUUCACUCAACAGAAAAAUGUGCUACAUGCGUGUUUCACGGAUCCUUAGAUGAGCCCGUGAGGUAAGGAGAAACCACAAGUGGACCGAUGACUGCUGUGCACCUGUUAAAGUGCCGGAAGAGAGACGUUACAGCUCAGCCCACCUCGAGUUCCUGUGAAAGUCUUUGCAAAAGCUCCCCACACUCUGUGAGCCCACGUGUGUCAUGGAGAAUCCGCACAGAAAUGACCAGGACUUCACGGAUUUUUCCGAACCAACUUCACGGCAUCAGACCUGUGGGCUGCUUCCUCCGCUAGAUGAGAAAGUCCUUUCGUGGCCCCAACCCAGUGCUCCGAUUGACCGGGGCCACAGGAAUGGAAGGGGAGCCUCUGGGGUUUAUCCAGCGCCAGUCAGAAUCAAUUCUAACACCCGGAUGUCUGGCUGAAGGCUGAAGGUUUCUUGACAAAUAUACAGUGAGGCGUAAUUUGUGAAGUUUGGGAACAGAAGGAGGAAAUUAUGGCUCAGCAUGAUAGACAACUGACAAUUGCACAGUGGACAAUAUUGGUCAUUUUUUUUUUUUUUUUGACAGGCAGAGUGGACAGUGAGAAAGAGACAC
Long non-coding RNA from Lepus europaeus (European hare), 1255 nucleotides. RefSeq lists it as uncharacterized. Lineage: Eukaryota; Metazoa; Chordata; Mammalia; Lagomorpha; Leporidae. The transcript is spliced from 5 exons. The record is from RefSeq and is a predicted model, not a curated record.